AUCCGGAGCCAAGGUCCGCUCGGUAUCUUAAAUAGUGAAGAUGGAGAAAUAGUCAAUAAUGAAGAGCAUGAAUAUGCAUCCAAAAAAAGGAAAAAGGACCAUUUUAGAAAUGACACAAAUACUCAAAGUUUUUAUCAUGAAAAAUGGAUCUAUGUCCAUAAAGAAAGCACAAAAGAAAGGCAUGGCUAUUGCACCUUGGGAGAAGCCUUUAAUCGGUUAGACUUCUCAAGUGCAAUUCAAGAUAUCCGAAGGUUCAAUUAUGUGGUCAAAAUGAUGAUUAUUCCCCACCUUCUAAGAGACAAAGACCAACGAGCCACCACAGCCACCAGUCCCAGAACCCGCCAAUGCUGGGGAACGGAAAAUGAGGGAGUUCAACUCUGGCCCUCACAAUCCAGUGGAGGAGACGCAACUCAUCUGCCUCUGUCCCUCUGGGCACGCCUCAUGCCAGGUGCAUCUGUGGACAGGGGCCAUGCUCCUGGGCUUCCAAAGUUGGAGAAAGCUGCCAGGCUCAGGUCUGAAGGCCAGAAUUCUACAGUAAGUCCUACUGAGUCAAGGUGGGAGCAGGGUCGGUAGCUUCCGAGGCUCUGCGGGAGAAUCUGUUUCCUGGCCGUAGAGGUGGCCUGCACUCCUCAGCCUGUGCUGCCCGUCUCGAAUGACUGGAGUUUCCUGCUUCUGUCACUACACCUCCCACCCUCUCCAUCACCUGCUCUGCUCUUACAAGGAUCCGAAGAAAUGGAAUCAUCGUAUCGCUGAUCUACGUAAACAAACUGAAGAAUUGUCUGAAAGAAAAUAUGACAUGAACUUAUGAAUUCAACAGGUGAAGAUUUACAACUUGAUAAAUCAACUUUGUCAGCUCGAGCUGUAAAAGCCAAAGGUCCGGUGAUGAUCCCAUACCCUUUUUUCCAGUCUCAUGUUGAAGAUUUUUAUGUAGAAGGCCUUCCCAAAGGAAUUUUUUUUUUUUUUUUUUGAGAUGGAGUUUUCACUCUUAUCGCCCAGGCUGGGGUGCAAUGGCGCAACCUUGCUGGUCACUGCAACCUCUGCCUCCUGGGUUCAAGAAAUUCUCCUGCCUUAGCCUCCCAAGUCACUGGGAUUACAGGUGCCCACCACCACACCAGGCUAAUUUUUGUAUUUUUAGUGGAGAUGCGGUUUCACCAUGUUGGCCGGGCCAGUCUCGAACUCCUGACGUCAAGUGAUCUUCCCGCCUCGACUCCUGAUAUCAAGUGAUCUUCCCGCCUCGGCCUCCCAGAGUGCUGAGAUUACAGACGUGAACCCAUGCCUGGCCAGGAAUUUUGUUUUUUAGGAAGGCUUUCUACUAAUGGAAUUCCUGGCCUUGAGAGGAUGUUACUUUAGAAGGAAAGGAUUUUUUUGUUAUUAAAAGAGCCACCUAAGCUGAAGAUUCCCUUGAGAACAAGUACUGUCCCUAGUUUCCCAGUGCUGGAAUAUAGAAAAUGGAUGGACAACUGGAUCUACCAUGAAAGACUUGUGAAUCCAGGAAGAGAGACUGACUGGGCAACAUGUUAUUCAGGUACAAAAAGAUUUGGACUGUAACUUAAAAAUGAUCAAAUUAUGUUUCCCAUGCAUCAGGUGCAAUGGGAAGCUCUUCUGGAGAGUGAGAGAAGCUUCCAGUUAAGGUGACAUUGAAGCCAAGUCCUGAAAGAUGAGGAAGAGUUGUAUGAGAGUGGGGAGGGAAGGGGGAGGUGGAGGGAUGGGGAAUGGGCCGGGAUGGGAUAGCGCAAACUGCCCGGGAAGGGAAACCAGCACUGUACAGACCUGAACAACGAAGAUGGCAUAUUUUGUUCAGGGAAUGGUGAAUUAAGUGUGGCAGGAAUGCUUUGUAGACACAGUAAUUUGCUUGUAUGGAAUUUUGCCUGAGAGACCUCAUUGCAGUUUCUGAUUUUUUGAUGUCUUCAUCCAUCACUGUCCUUGUCAAAUAGUUUGGAACAGGUAUAAUGAUCACAAUAACCCCAAGCAUAAUAUUUCGUUAAUUCUCACAGAAUCACAUAUAGGUGCCACAGUUAUCCCCAUUUUAUGAAUGGAGUGAUGAAAACCUUAGGAAUAAUGAAUGAUUUGCGCAGGCUCACCUGGAUAUUAAGACUGAGUCAAAUGUUGGGUCUGGUCUGACUUUAAUGUUUGCUUUGUUCAUGAGCACCACAUAUUGCCUCUCCUAUGCAGUUAAGCAGGUAGGUGACAGAAAAGCCCAUGUUUGUCUCUACUCACACACUUCCGACUGAAUGUAUGUAUGGAGUUUCUACACCAGAUUCUUCAGUGCUCUGGAUAUUAACUGGGUAUCCCAUGACUUUAUUCUGACACUACCUGGAGUUAGCACAGACCCCACAAGUUAGGGGCUCAGUCCCACGAGGCCAUCCUCACUUCAGAUGACAAUGGCAAGUCCUAAGUUGUCACCAUACUUUUGACCAACCUGUUACCAAUCGGGGGUUCCCGUAACUGUCUUCUUGGGUUUAAUAAUUUGCUAGAACAGUUUACGGAACUCAGAAAAACAGUUUAUUUUCUUUUUUUCUGAGAGAGAGGGUCUUAUUUUGUUGCCCAGGCUGGUGUGCAAUGGUGCAGUCAUAGCUCAUUGCAGCCUUGAUUGUCUGGGUUCCAGUGGUUCUCCCACCUCAGCCUCCCUAGUAGCUGAGACUACAUGCCUGCACCACCACAUCUGGCUAGUUUCUUUUAUUUUUUGUAUAGAUGGGGUCUUGUUGUGUUGGCCAGGCUGGCCACAAAUUCCUGGUCUCAAGUGAUCCUCCCACCUCAGCCUCUGAAAGUGCUGGGAUUACAGAUGUGAGCCACCACAUCUGGCCAGUUCAUUUCCUAUUACUGGUUCAUUGUGAAGGAUACAUCUCAGAAACAGUCAAUGAAAGAGACGUGCAUGCUGGAUGCAGUGGCUCAUGCCUGUAAUCUCAGCACUUUGGGAGGCCAAGGUGGGAGGAUCGCUUAAACUCAGGAGUUUGAGACCAGCCUGGGCAACAUGGUGAAAACCUGUCUCUAUAAAAAAUUAAAAAAUAAUAAUAAUAACUGGUGUGGUGUUGUGCACCUAGAGUUCCAACUACUAGGGAAGCUGAGAUGAGAGGAUACCUUGAGCUGGGGACUGGGGAGGCUUAGGUUACAGUAAGCUGAGAUUGUGCCACUGCACUCCAGCUUGGACAAAAGAGCCUGAUCCUGUCUCAAAAAAAAGAAAGAUACCCAGGGCAAGUUAAGUUCGGAGGGGCACAGAGCUCCCAUGCCCUCUGUUGAACAUGCGACCCUCCCAGCAUCUCCUGUGUCCAGCAACCCUGAAAGCUCUGCAAACCCCUUUCAGGGUGUUUAUGGAGGCUUUAUUAUGCAAGCAUGAUUGAUAAAACCUUUGGCUGUUGGUGAUUAAGUCAGUCUCCAGCCCCUCUUCCCCCUGGAGUUCAGUGCAUGAGGCUGAAAGUUCCAAGCCUCUUACCAUGUGGUUGCAUGGUAAUCAGCCCUCCUCUUGAAGAAAUUUAGGAGCUUGCAGUCACCCAGUCAUCUCAACAACAUCCCCAAAUGCAUUCUUACCAUGCUGGAGAUCCCAAAGUUCUUAGAGGCUCUUGUGUUAGAAACCUGGGACCAAGAUCAAAUAUUAAAACAAAAGAUGCUCCUGUCACAUCUAUCACUGAGGUCUUUGUAAGAGCUUUAGAAGCUCUGUGCCAGGAACCAGGGACAGAGAUUAAAUAUAUAUUUCUUUUCUUUUUUUUGAGACAGAAUCUCCCUGUGCCAUCCAGGCUGGAGUGCAGUGAUGUGAUCAUAGCUCACUAUAGCUUUGGCCUUCUGAGAUCAAGCAAUCCUCCCAUCUCAA
Molecule: long non-coding RNA, 3805 nt
Filed under: Homo sapiens (human)
Lineage: Eukaryota; Metazoa; Chordata; Mammalia; Primates; Hominidae
Description: HSALNT0289569
Source: RNAcentral